GUGUCAGCCGCCGCGGUAAGACGAACCGUGCGAACGUUAUUCGGAAUCACUGGGCUUAAAGGGCGCGUAGGCGGGUUGCCAAGUCUGUGGUGAAAUCCUCCAGCUUAACUGGAGAACGGCCGUGGAUACUGGCGACCUCGAGGGGGGUAGGGGCUUGCGGAACUGUGCGUGGAGCGGUGAAAUGCGUUGAUAUGCACAGGAACUCCGGUGGCGAAGGCGGCGAGCUGGACCCUUUCUGACGCUGAGGCGCGAAAGCCAGGGGAGCGAACGGGAUUAGAUACCCCCGUAGUCC
RNAcentral lists this ribosomal RNA (292 nucleotides) under uncultured bacterium. Its description in RNAcentral is "partial 16S ribosomal RNA". It matches the Rfam family "Bacterial small subunit ribosomal RNA", at positions 505 to 796 of the family's 1533-position model. The record is from RNAcentral.